GAAGAAGAACGCAGCGAAAUGCGAUACGUAGUGUGAAUUGCAGAAUUCAGUGAAUCAUCGAAUCUUUGAACGCACAUUGCACCUCUCGGUAUUCCGGGAGGUAUGCCUGUUCGAGCGUCAUUUGUACCCUCAAGCUCUGCUUGGUGUUGGGUGUUUGUUCCGCCUCUGUGUGUGAACUCGCCUCAAAACAAUUGGCAGCCGGCGUACUUGUUUCGGAGCGCAGCACAUUUUGCGAUCCAGAUCAACGUACAGCGGCAUCCAAGAAGCCUUAUUUAACGCUCUUGACCUCGGAUCAGGUAGGGAUACCCGCUGAACUUAAGCGUAUCAAUAAGCGGAGGA
Molecule: unclassified non-coding RNA, 339 nt
Filed under: soil metagenome
Description: partial contains 5.8S ribosomal RNA, internal transcribed spacer 2, and large subunit ribosomal RNA
Rfam family: 5.8S ribosomal RNA (bases 1-120)
Source: RNAcentral